UUCAAAUCAAGUUCUAAGCACAAAUUAACGAUCACCUAAUCAUAGUGAUCAACAGGCAAAGAGUCCGGAUCGUCAAGCGGACAAACCGAAGGGAAUCCACGGGGAAAGGGCGUGCUCUAAAGUUUUCAGGUAUUCAAGAAAAAGGAUGAUGAUCAAGCAUAACUAUCCGAACCGAACACUCUAGCAAACGCUUCCGCAUAUGAUCUUUUGUUCUAAAAACUAUGUAAACAAUUGUAGUUAAUAUCUUGAUUAUGAUUUC
Helianthus annuus (common sunflower) is the source of this 259-nucleotide long non-coding RNA. RefSeq lists it as uncharacterized. The transcript has 3 exons. NCBI's taxonomy places the organism in Eukaryota, Viridiplantae, Streptophyta, Magnoliopsida, Asterales, Asteraceae. The record is from RefSeq and is a predicted model, not a curated record.